UUGGCCUAAUUGGAGAAAUUAAUCUUUUUUUAAAGUGGAACACUUUAUAAUAAAUAUUUUCCUUUCUAAGUGGAUCACUAUGCGAGUUCCAUUAUUGAAGUAUUAUUUAUUUUGGGAUAAUAGGAGAAAUUAAAUGUUUUCGGAAUAGUUGCGAUAUGAAUAUAUGUAUAAGUUAUACAACGUAUACGUUGUGAAUAAGCAAUAUCUAUUUCCGUAAAUUGCAAACAAUUUUCAGUAUACUCUGAAUCUGUAAAGACUUCAAGACCAAACAAAACUGCACAACAUUUCUACAAAUUCAGAUGUUCCCCGUUGAAGGAAGGCAUGUACCAAAAAGCAGGUCACGCAACGGCGAUAACGGUAAUCCGUGCAGUCGUGGUGUAACGGCGUUCACGUGGAAAAGCAAACGAAGAAAAGUGUUUUGCUCGCUUACCCGUAGAAUCACGGCAAGACACGAUUUAUAAUGACUGCGAACAGACUAAUGACCGGCUGGGUUUACCUUCGAGUCAUCGUAGCUAUUGCGACGACGGCAAUUCGGAAAUCCCGAGCUAAAUUGUCUCUUCUAACCGUAGUAGAAUCGUAUUAAAUUAAUCGUCAGAUGAAAAAUUCACGGUGAAUUACGAACUUCAAUACGUGGAAACUAUUUUCUUCGUAUAAUAGAUGCUUAACAGGUGCUUUAAAGAGAUUGUGUUUGCUUCGAAACCAGAAUAUUGAAAAUAUAUUGAUAUAUGGAUAUGUAACUUCCAAUGUAACGUAGCAUUAUAUAUAGAUGCUUAAUCUAAAUUCUAGUUUCGCUUCGUGCAUUUAAUCCUAGUUUUUUAAGUUGUAUAGUUUCGCUUAAUCUUAAAAUGAAAGUAUGUUAUUAAUACUUGCAAGUAAUAUCUUAUUAUCGAAGGAAAUCAGAGUUACGAAAUUUUGAUUUUUGCGAUAUCCAAAAUCUCUGACCUAAACAAAUACAAAUCUUAAGUUAAUUUUUGCAAUCGCACCAGAUAAGCCCUAUUAAAAAUGUAACAAAACCGAUAUAUGAUUACUAUCC
Molecule: unclassified non-coding RNA, 1033 nt
Filed under: Bombus terrestris (buff-tailed bumblebee)
Lineage: Eukaryota; Metazoa; Arthropoda; Insecta; Hymenoptera; Apidae
Description: misc RNA ENSBTSG00005027017.1
Source: RNAcentral